Long non-coding RNA from Carassius auratus (goldfish), 3591 nucleotides. The record is from Ensembl. NCBI's taxonomy places the organism in Eukaryota, Metazoa, Chordata, Actinopteri, Cypriniformes, Cyprinidae.
AUGUCAGAUCCUAACCGGCUCUUGGAGGAGGUCAACAGUCUUGUCAGCCAGGCAGAAGACAUGGAUGCACUCCAAAGGCUGCAUGAGAUCGUCAACAAGCAACAGGAGGCAGCAUCAGCAAUCCAGCCAUCCACCAGACAGCCAUUUGUGAAGUGGAUUAAGAGGCAUAGCGAAGGGAACAUUAUUUAUGGGAGGCCAAGAUCCUCCAGAAAACAAGCAGGUGUUGGCCACAGACAAACUGGAAAGACUGGUGGUUCCCUUCUCAGGGCUCCGGAAACCAGUGUGGAAAUGACCUGUGACUUUUCUCACGUAAACGCUGGUAUGUCCUAUAUUGACUCUGCACUGUGAAACUGCAUGUUAAUUAAUAAUAUGAAUGUAAUACACAUUCCAUAUUUUUGUGUAAGUACGAUAAGUAACACCGUUAUUACACACUUCAGAAUGACUGUUGUUCGGUGAUAUACUUUUUUGUUUAAUAACCUGCUGUUUUGGAAUACUGUCCAUUGUUUAACAGAGUCUUUCCUUCAAGAGCUAAGUUGCUCACUGGGUGAAGACUUAGAUGACAACGAAACACCACCAUAAGCCUCCAGUGAUUGGUCAUUAAGAAAAAGUCUUGUUUCUGAGUGGUGGGCGAAAGUGAGGCCCCGGUUGGUGGACAACAUGGUGGCUAAGCAGCAUGUGGCCAGUCCAGUCUGCCAGAAAUGUGACUCCGGUCCAGCUAUGAUCCACUGUUGUGACUGUCGACCACACGCCUUUCUCUGUGCCCGUUGUGACAUCAACAUCCACAAGGCUCAAGUCUUCCACAACAGGGACUCAAUUAGAGAAGGCUUCUUUCAGCCGUUGCCACCAACAUCAUGUUUUGUGGAGAAGGUUCUUACCCAGUGUGGUAAGUUGUAGUUUUUGAGUCACUUUUUUUCACUUUUUCCAGUUAUCUAAAACUAAAUACUAAAACCUAAAUCAUUUCUGAUCAAACGAUCAUCUGUAGGUAGGCUAUAAAUUAAUAUUGUACAAUGAGGAGGGUAUCAGAGACAUAAAUAAGAAAUAUGGUUCUACAUCUCACCUCUGUCAUUCUUUUGUCAACAAUCAUGUCGUAUUGCCACACUUUUUGCCUACUGCAUUUUCGCCAUCCUGAGACGACAAAGGCAAAAAGGUUUUGUUGACAAACAAAUGGUAAUCAAUAAAUAGAAGUACUGCAUUUGAUCUAAGGCCUUGUGUAUUUAUAUGAACCCAUAACUUAUACUAAGCAGGGUUUCACAGAAUAUGGAAUCAACAUUAAUCACGGAACUUGUGCUGGGUUAAAACAGGUUACAGUGCCAGCACCAUCAAUGUGCAGUGUGUCUGGGAACCCAGGUCCAAUUCUUAUAAUGUGUGUGUAUGCACAAUAUAGCACUAGUAAGAGAGAGGUUGGUUGGAUAACCACACAGUUGUGGUACGGCAAUAGCAAAGAGGCAAGAGUUUGAUAAAUCUUCGCACUAAUGGAACAUUGGUGUAGGUCAAUUCAAUGCAAAAUGCAGAGUGAUAUAUAACACCAGCGCAAAAAUCAGUGAGGAAAUCCAAAUAAAAAAAAAAAAAAAAAAAAAUCUAAGUGGCAACAAUCUUAUGUUUAGGGAAAGAACCUCACAUGAAAAGUCACAUUUUCUUACCUCACAUUUGAAGUCGUGGGCUUUGGCAUGAAACACUGAUAGAAAUGGCUUCAUGGAGAGCAGAUCUUGAAGCUCAGGGCAUCUCUCAUUCACUCUCUGGAGGUAAGGCCAGUACUUGCACGCAACAUCCAUAGCAAAGAAUUUCACUGGCUUACAAGCCAUUUUUUUCUGGAGGUACAGGGGGUAGCCAAAAACCUACCCCCUGAACAUAUUAAGGGCACAAAGAAGAACACCAUGCCGGCAAACUGCAAGUUCUAGGCCCUCCUCAUCUAUUUUGCUGGAGGACUUCUGUGACGUUUCUCGUGCUGCUGACCACUGUCCCCCACAGACACCUCUGCCAGAGGCCUAAAACAUGGAAGAUGGCUAACAGUUCAUGUAGGACAUGGUUUUACAAGUAAAUAUAGUGAUGUUUUGCAAGUUUACAUGUCUGGUUGAGGAAUGGACAUAGUCUACGAAUCUUGCUCCAUCAUCGUCCUUGGCUAUGAAUACACCAUCGAAGAUGGUUGUUCCUCUGAUCUAAAAGAAACACAUAUUGCCUUUUAAUAUUCAUAUGAUUUUCAUUAUGAUUUUACAGCAAAGUUACUUUCAAAACGAUGAACUGUCAAUCUAAACACUGGAUUUUUAAGUACCUUGCUGCACUCUUGAAUCUAUAGUGCUUACGGUUUCCAUCAACAGAGACCGCAAGCAUGUGUGGGGUGCAUGCUGGGCAGUUAAAGUGGUCUUCCUGGAUGAGUUUGUCCACUUCAAAUCGGACUGCCUCCCACUCCAAAAAGCUUUUUCUGAAGCUGUCUGCUAUGAUCUUUCCAGUCUGUUUCAAAAGAGUACAGUAAACCAGAAACAGUAAAACAGAUCAAGAAAUUGAAGACCACUCUACACUGAAAUAAGAUAAUAUCCAUCUAAAAUGGAUAAACUUUGGGAUGUGUACUACUUUCAUGACCUCUGAUAAUAAACAUCAAAGGAAAAGAACCUGAAUUGAAGAAGAACUUGACACUCUACAUCUCUAGCCAAAAAAAGCUACAGUUUGUUCCAGUUUGUUUAAGAGUUAGCCAGUGCAACGUUUGGCCAGAAUGUUUCCAAAUGAACAUUUAUGUGAUCAGCAAAUGAUAUUAGGGAGAACACAUCAAGGUGUGUCCCCUUCUUCACAAACCACUUUAGCCGUUUAUACACCUGUGACAAAAGGUCUGAAUUUAACACAUCCCUUGACCUCAUACUGUAAUCGUGAGUUACUCUAAGAUUAUCACCACAAAUACUUACACGGCCAAAGCGGACAGUUCGUUUCUCUAGCAUUCUAAGAAAUGCUAGGCUGGACAUCCCAGGUGCUGCCAACUUCAACUCCUCAAAGGAAAAUAGGAUGUCUGUAGCAUAUACUGUAGAAAAUUGUGAAGUAGCAGGCCAGUAGUCAUUAUGGACCAGCUCAUCCACUCCAGCAUGCCAUGUGGCUUCGCAUACCUCACAGUUCAACUCUGGCAAGUUGAGAUCAUAUCGGCCUGGGAAAAGGAAAGAAUUACAUAUGCACAUUUAAUUCUGAAACUGAAGUGGGAACCUUUGACUCAGGAGGACACUAGCGAGGUUUCCAUUAAACUUAUUUGCAUUUGAUAUUUGCAUUAAUGAAAAUUCAGCUCAAGAAUCUGUGUAUGCUUCCAUCAGCUGUUUAAUGUGAAUUAAAAAUGGACAUUAGACUAAUCAGGGGAUGUGUUCUGACCAGCUGUGGGAUCAAAAUGUCUCCAGGACAACAUUGAAACAUGGUAAAUGUGCAUAUAUGCCUAUUAAACUGUUUCCAUAAACUUUAAUUGCACUACGCCUUAUUCACAUCAAGAGUUAAUCCACCCCCAUCAAUCAAAUCAGAUUUAUAUUUGCAUUAAGGGACUUAUCCGCAUUUGCAGGUGUUUUCAAUUUAGCAUUUCUUAUGCACAUGACUGAAAUUUGAAUUAACAAGUUGGAUGGAAACUCA